AGAGUUUGAUCCUGGCUCAGGAUGAACGCUGGCGGUCUGCUUAACACAUGCAAGUCGAACGGAGUAGAAAUACUUAGUGGCGGACGGGUGAGUAACGCGUGAGAAUCUGCCUUCAGGACGGAGACAACAGUUGGAAACGACUGCUAAGCCCCGAUGAACCGAAAGGGAAAAUAUUUAUAGCCUGAAGAUGAGCUCGCGUCCGAUUAGCUAGUUGGCGGAGUAAAAGCCCACCAGGGCGACGAUCGGUAGCUGGUCUGAGAGGACGAUCAGCCACACUGGGACUGAGACACGGCCCAGACUCCUAUGGGAGGCAGCAGUGGGGAAUUUUCCGCAAUGGGCGAAAGCCUGACGGAGCAAGACCGCGUGGGGGAAGAAGGCUCUUGGGUUGUAAACCCCUUUUCUCUGGGAAGAAAGUUGUGAAAGCAACCUGACGGUACCAGAGGAAUCAGCAUCGGCUAACUCCGUGCCAGCAGCCGCGGUAAGACGGAGGAUGCAAGCGUUAUCCGGAAUGAUUGGGCGUAAAGCGUCCGCAGGUGGCAGUUCAAGUCUGCUGUCAAAGACCGGGGCUUAACUUCGGAAAGGCAGUGGAAACUGAACAGCUAGAGUAUGGUAGGGGCAGAGGGAAUUCCUGGUGUAGCGGUGAAAUGCGUAGAGAUCAGGAAGAACAUCGGUGGCGAAGGCGCUCUGCUGGACCAUAACUGACACUCAGGGACGAAAGCUAGGGGAGCGAAUGGGAUUAGAUACCCCCGUAGUCC
RNAcentral lists this ribosomal RNA (755 nucleotides) under uncultured bacterium. Its description in RNAcentral is "bacterial SSU rRNA". It matches the Rfam family "Bacterial small subunit ribosomal RNA", at positions 8 to 796 of the family's 1533-position model. The record is from RNAcentral.